RNAcentral lists this long non-coding RNA (4142 nucleotides) under Homo sapiens (human). RNAcentral describes it as "HSALNT0328162". The record is from RNAcentral. Lineage: Eukaryota; Metazoa; Chordata; Mammalia; Primates; Hominidae.
CUAAAAUAAAAGUUGAAAUUAUUUUUUAAAAAGCCUAGGCUUCUUCCUAAACCCCCAAACAUUUUUAUUUACUCAACUAUGUAAAUGGAAUAUCUAAUUUGUAAUACCAGGUUAAAGAUAAACAUAAUAAAUCUUAUUUUUCUUUUAGUUAGGUCAAUUCAGUAGUCUUUUAAGCUAUAUCUAGAUAUAGCUUGGAUAAUUAUUGAUUUAAAACAAAGCAAAUAAAACUCAUGAACCAACAUUAUGUUGGGAUAUAAAUAAAAUUUACUUCACAGUAAAUUCUGUCAAAUUUCACUUUUGAGUUCUUUGAUAUACUAUAUAAAUUGUGUUGAAACAUGUUUACCAAAGGCUAAUUUAUAAAAGUAAUAAAAGAAAAAAUGGUUGUUAGGAGGAAAAAUGGCUAAAUUACCAUGGUGGAUAAAUAAAAUGAAAUUUGAUAUAAUCAUUAAUGUAAUACAGAAUAAUAAAUAAGAAUAUGUAAAGAUAUUCCUAGCAUAUUGUAAAAACUAAAUUAUAAAAUAAUAUGUACCACUCUUACCUCACUAUGAACACAUUAGAUACUAGUAUAUAUCUACAUAUACAUAUAUGUAGGAUGUAUAUGUCUGUCGCUGACUACACACAUGUAUAAAAGACUGGAUGCAUGGAUAAAUAGUAAGAUGAAAUGUCUUUUAGUUUUCUUUUUUGCUUAUCUGAUUUAAAAAAAAUUUUUAAAGUGAACCUGUGGUGUCUUUGUAUUGAAUAAAAAGUCUUAAACUUUUUUUAUCAUCUUGUGACUCUUUAGUCACCCUUGUCACAGAAAAUUCAUUUCAUCAGAAUAUCUGGCAAUGUCAUUACAAUGAUGGUUUGGGUCCUCGAAUAAAGAUUUCAUGAAAAAUGUGAAGAAAAAGAUGGUCCUUUUCCCUUUUUUCUAUUUAGAUAUUUUGAAAUAGAUAUAUUGAAGGGAGUUAGACAUGUUCCACAACAAUUAUGAAAAAAAAUCAGUCCAUUAAGCUUGCCAUCCUGACCUACAUGAUAUUUCUAUUGAAAGAAGUACAGUACUCAAGAUAAUUCCCAUAUAAGGCACUGAAAUCAGCAUUAAAGGAUUUUGAAUUACAGCUGAUGAGCAUGCAAGUCUGAAAGAAGACAUUAAUUUUUUUUUAAGUUCUGAAUAGUGUUUAAAUUUCUAAGAUAAGAGCUACAUUAACAGAAAUUUAUAUAUAUCUUCUUUUUAUUUCUCUAUACAUAUGAACACAUAGGAGAAGAGUCGAAAAAAUGACCAUGCACAUUGUCUAUUUAUACUUUGGCAUGAUUUGCAGACAUAAUUACUGUUGAAGGAAGAAAUAAACUCAAAUAUAUUAUUUCUCAGUCAUAGUGAUGUUUGAAUAUUUGCCUAUAUUUUAUGCCUUAUAAUUACAGACAAAAUAACAAUGUAACACAUUUGUUCUGGCCAUUAUAUGCAUGUUAAACACAGUUGCAAAACUCAAGGUAUGCAAAUAUUUUAUGGGUUAUUCAAAAUCACAUUAGUUGUAAUUUAUUUAAUAGUUUUUGAAGUGCAAAAUUAGACAUGCACAUACUUUCAUUUUAGGCUACUUGUUUUAUCCACAUCUGAAUUAAUUAAACUGCACUUCCCAGUAAAUAUCUGUAGACUGACAAAGACUGUAUGAGAAAGUUAUUGUGAAAAACACUUUCGGAAGAUUCUUGAAACUUUCAGUCUUCUAAACUCAUAGAAUUUUGUCUUUAGUUAGGUCACGAAUACCAUUUUUGUUAAGAAUAAGCCAAUGUAUUUGGUUUGUUUAAUUGCUCCUUUUUUCAAAAGCUUUGUUAUUAUAUUUCCUUCUUUUAAAUUAUAGGUCAUAAAAUAUGUAGCCUAUAAAAUCAUUCUCAUUGGGAAAGAAUUGCAGAAAAGUCAUUAUCUUUUGAAGAUAAGUAUAGUUAAAAGGUAAAUUUAAGCCUUUGGACAUCAUAUAGGUGAUCACUGAGCAAUGAAACUGAUGUUCACAUCAAAAUUACUGAUUGUUACCCAUUCUAUUUAUUAAGGCAAACUCAUCAUUGAAAAUUAAAAAUAAGUUUUUGAGUUUUAUAAACAUAAAAAAGUUUCUUGUUAACUCCCCUAUAACAUUUUACAUAUACCUUGAUGAUCGCUUAAAAUAGUUUGUUUAAAAUAGUGUGAAGUAAAAAUUCUAGUCAGUUUUAAAUAGUUUGAAUUAAGAUUCCUGAAUACUGUACCUACUGUGAAAAAAGGGAGUGAAAGGCAGAAAAUUCAUAUUAGAGUGUUUUACAUAUUAUCUAGGAUGGAAUGUAAUAAACUGUUUUAAAUAUCCUUCUAGUUGUUAUGAUAGGAUGUCUUUAGAUAAAUUUACAGAAUUUAUUUUAUUUUACUAAUUGAUUGGUAUAUUCAUCAUCCACAGAUAUAUUAGUGAAAGCUGGAUUCUAAAUGACUUUCCUAUGAUAAGCUUUCCAAUUAAUUCUUCUCACACUGUUUUCCUGGUGACAUUUGAACUUCUUUCAUUAUAUAAAACACAUCUGGAAUGAUACAUUGCUGAAUAAUAAACAUGGAUGCGAACAUGUUAAAGAUUGGACCCCUGACAUAGUCAAAUAUGUUCUGGUUUAAAACAAUGACCUCAACUAAUUCUGCUUUAAGUGAAUCACAUUUAGAAAGAAUAUAUAGGCAUGUCUUUUUAGCCUGCCUGUCUUGUGCUAGAAUUGGUCAAAGAGAGAGAAAUGAAAUUGUAAACUGUGUCUUCCUUGUUUGAGAUGACGAUAGUAAGUCAUAUUUUCCCUCCCAUCUGCAAAUAUUAUUUUCUUUUUCUUGUCUGAUAUUAAAAAUACUGCAAUAAGGAAAUAUUUAAAAAGUAUUAUCUAAAACAUAUGUUAAAUCAUGUAUUACUUAUAAUUUACAUCUGUUUCAUAGGGCUACUAAAUUUCUUCCAUAGUGUAUUUCAUAAAGGAGAAGAUGCUGAUAAGAUCUUGUUUAAAUGGCUUGCUAAUACAAGAAGCAGAUCAUUUUAAAUGGACCUUACAUCUUUAUAGGAUGUUAGAAAUGAAGACAUUACCUCAAAAUAAAACCUUGGCUGACAUACUCAAGGCUGAAAUGCAGUCAGCGGAAAUGGAAACACUUCAACUCUGCCCCUGUGGCAAGAAUGGCUUCCCUUCAGACAAUCUGGCCAGAUUCUUUAUGGACCCAAUGGGAGAAAUUGGAUGCUUGUAUAUACCUCUCAGCAUCUUUGAAGGGGCACUGAAACUUCAAUCAAAUUGGGGAAAGGGAGCCCUGAACUUUAGACCUGUUUUAAAUGUGCAGAGGUAGGAUUGAGACUUUCUUUCCUUUCUAAAAUACCUCUCAUGAUUCUUAACUACUUUUAUAGAGUCCUUGAGCCUUAAGUCUCAGCCAUAUUAAAAUCCCUUUUUCAAAGACAUUUGCUGAAGGAAUAAUGGCUUAGUACUAAGAAAAAACACCACAAGUUAAAAAUGUACUUGGCUAUAAUGGAAUUUAUUAUCAUAAACUACAAUUGUCAGUUAAGUUGUGUUCCUUAAGGCAUUAACAGUGUUUGCCCAAAAUGAGCUGAUUUAUCAUCAGUACUAAGAAAUCUUUUGUGAAUUAUUGUUGAUGCUAAACACAGUUUUUGAUUGUGAUAAUAGCUUGGCCUUGGAGUCCGGUUUACUUGCUUGCAAAUUAGCCAGUGUUCUUUGGUGCAGGGGAUGAGAAAUGUGACAUUGACUUUGGAAUUGUGAUCAAUAGCUUUUGAUCUAAGAAUCCUUUUUCUUUUUUGCAAGUGGCAACUGGCACAAGGAACACUUUCCAUCUGUAAGAAAGAAUACAAAGAACUUGGAACAAGAAAAAAGUAGAUAUCUCAUCAGUCAAUGUUGCUGUAUAGGUAAAGUCUGAAUUUUUUUAAAAAAGCAGAAGCAUCUCUAUUAUAAAGAUUUAAUAGUUGCAGGGUAGUGUAGACAGGGCUCUGUAUGUUAAAGCAUUAAAAACAGAAGCAAAACAACAUAAAACAAAAGUGUCCCUUUAAUGAGUUCAGUCUUACAUGACCAAAAUGUUGUUAUAAUUGCCCCUAGGAUUCUACCUACAAAAAUGGAUUAUUUAGUUGGGUAUUGUAUUAGUCCAUUCUGGCACUGCUAUAAAGAAAUACCUGAAACUGGGUAAUUUGUAAAGAAAAGAG